RNAcentral lists this ribosomal RNA (253 nucleotides) under uncultured bacterium. RNAcentral's name for it is "partial 16S ribosomal RNA". It matches the Rfam family "Bacterial small subunit ribosomal RNA", at positions 524 to 776 of the family's 1533-position model. The record is from RNAcentral.
GACGAACCACACAAACGUUAUUCGGAAUUACUGGGCUUAAAGGGUGCGUAGGCUGCGCAGAAAGUUGGGUGUGAAAUCCCUCGGCUCAACCGAGGAACUGCGCCCAAUACUACUGUGCUCGAGGGAGACAGAGGUGAGCGGAACUUAGGGUGGAGCGGUGAAAUGCGUUGAUAUCCUAAGGAACACCCGUGGCGAAAGCGGCUCACUGGGUCUCUUCUGACGCUGAGACACGAAAGCUAGGGUAGCGAACGGG